UUCGGUUUAAUUUUUACACAUGAAUAAUUUUUUAAUUAAUCUUCCUUCUUUUCGUGCUCAGAACUUUUCCAUAUAUGAUUCAAAUGAUCAAAAUUGUUAUGUAAAAGAUAAGAGAAAUGAUUCGAAACAAUGCGAUAAUCAAAUUAGAAUCAUAGAUAAUCAAAAUGAAACAAGAAUUAUUACUGAACCUCUUGAAUGUAUUGUAUCACAUAUCAAAAGAAAUACUGAAAGAUAUAAAAAAUUAAAUAAACAAAAGAUGGAUCCAUUAUUAAAUUCACAUAUCACAAAAUAUUCAUUAAAAAGUAUUACAAAUAAACCCAAAAACAAUGAAAAUUUAAAAGAUAAUAUAGAAACACAUAGAAUAUCACAUUUUAAAAAAGUUUCAAAAAAAUUAAA
Molecule: long non-coding RNA, 396 nt
Organism: Gordionus sp. m RMFG-2023
Lineage: Eukaryota; Metazoa; Nematomorpha; Gordioida; Chordodea; Parachordodidae
Exons: 3
Source: RefSeq, a predicted model, not a curated record